GGGAUAGCCUUUCGAAAGGGAGAUUAAUCCCCCAUAAUAUAUUUAUCGGCAUCGAUGAAUAUUGAAAACUCCGGUGGAUAGAGAUGGGCACGCGCAAGAUUAGAUAGUUGGUGAGGUAACGGCUCACCAAGUCUACGAUCUUUAGGGGGCCUGAAAGGGNGAUCCCCCACACUGGUACUGAGACACGGACCAGACUCCUACGGGAGGCAGCAGUGAGGAAUAUUGGACAAUGGGUGAGAGCCUGAUCCAGCCAUAUACGGAGGGUGCCAGCGUUAUCCGGAUUUAUUGGGUUUAAAGGGUCCGUAGGCGGAUCUGUAAGUCAGUGGUGAAAUCUCACAGCUUAACUGUGAAACUGCCAUUGAUACUGCAGGUCUUGAGUGUUGUUGAAGUAGCUGGAAUAAGUAGUGUAGCGGUGAAAUGCAUAGAUAUGUCUUAGAACACCAAUUGCGAAGGCAGGUUACUAAGCAACAACUGACGCUGAUGCACGAAAGCGUGGGGAGCGAACAGGAUUAGAUACCCUGGUAGUCCACGCCCUAAACGAUGCUGACUCGUUUUUGGCCUUUCGGGUUCAGAGACUAAGCGAAAGUGAUAAGUUAGCCACCUGGGGAGUACGCAAGCAAGUUUGAAACUCAAAGGAAUUGACGGGGGCCCGCACAAGCGGGUGGA
This 666-nucleotide ribosomal RNA is filed under the name Flavobacterium paraogurii. Its description in RNAcentral is "bacterial SSU rRNA". It matches the Rfam family "Bacterial small subunit ribosomal RNA", at positions 140 to 937 of the family's 1533-position model. The record is from RNAcentral. Lineage: Bacteria; Pseudomonadati; Bacteroidota; Flavobacteriia; Flavobacteriales; Flavobacteriaceae.